CUUAACAGUUUAACUUUUAUACUAGAUUCAUGUCUAAAUAACAUUGUAUAGGUAAUUGCAGUGCUGUUCAUAUUUGAAAACCUAUAAAAAGCCCAUUAACAGGAGAAGAUUUUCAUUUUAAAGAAUAUUUAAGAAACCAGUGAAAAAAUGGAAACCACAGAGACUGUUGCUGCCAGAAAAUCAUUCAUUGUGGUGAUUAACCUGAUUGGAUGGAUGGUGUUAAUAUCAGCUAUUGGAUUAGGAGUCAUCCAUUUGUAUGAGUGUCCUGCACAACCAAACCUUCCCAUCUAUCUGACUGUGACUGGUG
Paramisgurnus dabryanus is the source of this 307-nucleotide long non-coding RNA. RefSeq lists it as uncharacterized. NCBI's taxonomy places the organism in Eukaryota, Metazoa, Chordata, Actinopteri, Cypriniformes, Cobitidae. The record is from RefSeq and is a predicted model, not a curated record.